GAACGCCGUAUGAGGGGAAACUCUCACGUACGGUGUGAAGUGGGGGGAAAUCCUGAGAUAUCAUCAAGGGAUUACCUAUCACUAU
This is a non-coding RNA of Eubacterium sp. CAG:841, 85 nucleotides long. The record is from Rfam. Lineage: Bacteria; Bacillati; Bacillota; Clostridia; Eubacteriales; Eubacteriaceae.